Molecule: ribosomal RNA, 301 nt
Filed under: uncultured bacterium
Lineage: Bacteria
Description: partial 16S ribosomal RNA
Rfam family: Bacterial small subunit ribosomal RNA
Source: RNAcentral
CAGCAGCCACGGUAAUACGUAGGGUGCAAGCGUUAAUCGGAAUUACUGGGCGUAAAGCGUGCGCAGGCGGUUUGUUAAGACAGAUGUGAAAUCCCCGGGCUCAACCUGGGAACUGCAUUUGUGACUGGCAGGCUAGAGUAUGGCAGAGGGGGGUGGAAUUCCGCGUGUAGCAGUGAAAUGCGUAGAUAUGCGGAGGAACACCGAUGGCGAAGGCAGCCCCCUGGGCCAAUACUGACGCUCAUGCACGAAAGCGUGGGGAGCAAACAGGAUUAGAUACCCGCGUAGUCCCUGUCUCUAAUAC